Molecule: ribosomal RNA, 396 nt
Filed under: Nannocoris sp. Bra 0974
Lineage: Eukaryota; Metazoa; Arthropoda; Insecta; Hemiptera; Schizopteridae
Description: partial 16S ribosomal RNA
Source: RNAcentral
UAAAUUAGUUCUGCCCAAUGAUUUAAUAAUUCAAUGGCUGCAGUAUUUUAACUGUGCGAAGGUAGCAUAAUUAUUAGCUUAUUAAUUAUGAGCUUGUAUGAAUGGUUAAUUGAAAUUUUAACUUUCUUUAAAUUAUUUUUUUGAAUUUAUAUUUUUUGUUAAAAUACAAGGAUUUAUUUAUAAGACGAGAAGACCCUAUAAAACUUAAAUAAAUUUAUCUAAAUAUUUAGAUAAAUUUAUUUAGAUUGGGGAGAUUUUGGAAUAUUAUCAACUUUCAAAUAUUUUAUUUCACAAAUUAUUGUUUUGUCGAUAAAUUUUAAUAAAUAUAAGAUAAAGUUACUUUAGGGAUAACAGCGUAUUUAGUUGAGAGUUCUUAUUGAUAUUAGUUUGCGCCUC